ACAGCCACUUACAAACAAAAAAAGAUCUAAAAACAAUGUAAUCAUUCAAGUUCGGGUCGAGCUGGUUUCGAUCUUGUGGCAUAAAUAUAAUAUCUAACACCUGAGUCUGUAGCUCUACACAAUGAGCUAUCAAAGCUCUAUAUCAAACUGCUUCCAGUCACAUAUUUAUCAACUACGUCAGCAACCAGGUAACAUUUUGUUUUGAGCUGAUCUAAAACAACUGUUUUCACGUUUCUUUCCUCGCAUCUACGGCCAUAUGGACUACUACUACUUCAUCACAGCCACCUACUAAGCUACACAUUGUGACUGAUACAUAUUUUUUAACA
Long non-coding RNA from Sander lucioperca (pikeperch), 326 nucleotides. RefSeq lists it as uncharacterized. The transcript is spliced from 2 exons. NCBI's taxonomy places the organism in Eukaryota, Metazoa, Chordata, Actinopteri, Perciformes, Percidae. The record is from RefSeq and is a predicted model, not a curated record.